AUUGAACGCUGGCGGCAGGCCUAACACAUGCAAGUCGAGCGGAUGAAGGGAGCUUGCUCCUGGAUUCAGCGGCGGACGGGUGAGUAAUGCCUAGGAAUCUGCCUGGUAUUGGGGGAUAACGUCCGGAAACGGGCGCUAAUACCGCAUACGUCCUGAGGGAGAAAGUGGGGGAUCUUCGGACCUCACGCUAUCAGAUGAGCCUAGGUCGGAUUAGCUAGUUGGUGUGGUAAAGUCCUACCAAGGCGACUAUCCGUAACUGGUCUGAGAGGAUGAUCAGUCACACUGGAACUGAGACACGGUCCAGACUCCUACGGGAGGCAGCAGUGGGGAAUAUUGGACAAUGGGCGAAAGCCUGAUCCAGCCAUGCCGCGUGUGUGAAGAAGGUCUUCGGAUUGUAAAGCACUUUAAGUUGGGAGGAAGGGCAGUAAGUUAAUACCUUGCUGUUUUGACGUUACCAAAAGAAAAAGCACCGGCUAGCUUCGUG
RNAcentral lists this ribosomal RNA (484 nucleotides) under uncultured bacterium. RNAcentral's name for it is "partial 16S ribosomal RNA". It matches the Rfam family "Bacterial small subunit ribosomal RNA", at positions 30 to 507 of the family's 1533-position model. The record is from RNAcentral.